Molecule: ribosomal RNA, 1139 nt
Filed under: Salmonella enterica subsp. enterica serovar Bareilly
Lineage: Bacteria; Pseudomonadati; Pseudomonadota; Gammaproteobacteria; Enterobacterales; Enterobacteriaceae
Description: partial 23S ribosomal RNA
Rfam family: Bacterial large subunit ribosomal RNA
Source: RNAcentral
UACCAGCUGGCUGCAACUGUUUAUUAAAAACACAGCACUGUGCAAACACGAAAGUGGACGUAUACGGUGUGACGCCUGCCCGGUGCCGGAAGGUUAAUUGAUGGGGUCAGCGCAAGCGAAGCUCCUGAUCGAAGCCCCGGUAAACGGCGGCCGUAACUAUAACGGUCCUAAGGUAGCGAAAUUCCUUGUCGGGUAAGUUCCGACCUGCACGAAUGGCGUAAUGAUGGCCAGGCUGUCUCCACCCGAGACUCAGUGAAAUUGAACUCGCUGUGAAGAUGCAGUGUACCCGCGGCAAGACGGAAAGACCCCGUGAACCUUUACUAUAGCUUGACACUGAACAUUGAGCCUUGAUGUGUAGGAUAGGUGGGAGGCUUUGAAGCGUGGACGCCAGUCUGCGUGGAGCCGACCUUGAAAUACCACCCUUUAAUGUUUGAUGUUCUAACGUGGACCCGUAAUCCGGGUUGCGGACAGUGUCUGGUGGGUAGUUUGACUGGGGCGGUCUCCUCCUAAAGAGUAACGGAGGAGCACGAAGGUUGGCUAAUCCUGGUCGGACAUCAGGAGGUUAGUGCAAUGGCAUAAGCCAGCUUGACUGCGAGCGUGACGGCGCGAGCAGGUGCGAAAGCAGGUCAUAGUGAUCCGGUGGUUCUGAAUGGAAGGGCCAUCGCUCAACGGAUAAAAGGUACUCCGGGGAUAACAGGCUGAUACCGCCCAAGAGUUCAUAUCGACGGCGGUGUUUGGCACCUCGAUGUCGGCUCAUCACAUCCUGGGGCUGAAGUAGGUCCCAAGGGUAUGGCUGUUCGCCAUUUAAAGUGGUACGCGAGCUGGGUUUAGAACGUCGUGAGACAGUUCGGUCCCUAUCUGCCGUGGGCGCUGGAGAACUGAGGGGGGCUGCUCCUAGUACGAGAGGACCGGAGUGGACGCAUCACUGGUGUUCGGGUUGUCAUGCCAAUGGCACUGCCCGGUAGCUAAAUGCGGAAGAGAUAAGUGCUGAAAGCAUCUAAGCACGAAACUUGCCCCGAGAUGAGUUCUCCCUGAGACUUUAGGUCUCCUGAAGGAACGUUGAAGACGACGACGUUGAUAGGCCGGGUGUGUAAGCGCAGCGAUGCGUUGAGCUAACCGGUACUAAUGAACCGUGAGGC